Molecule: ribosomal RNA, 443 nt
Filed under: uncultured bacterium
Lineage: Bacteria
Description: bacterial SSU rRNA
Rfam family: Bacterial small subunit ribosomal RNA
Source: RNAcentral
GAUGAACGCUGGCGGUGCGCAUAAUACAUGCAAGUCGAACGUGAUCUCGAAUUUAUUCGAGUGAAAGUGGCGGACGAGCGAGUAAUACGUAAGAACUUACCCCGUAUUCAGGGAUAACUCCGCGAAAGCGGAGCUAAUACCGGAUAGUCUCGAAAGAGUAAAGUUACGGCGAUACGGGAGAGGCUUGCGGCCUAUCAGCUAGUUGGUAAGGUAAAGGCUUACCAAGGCUAUGACGGGUAGAUGGUGUGAGAGCAUGACCAUCCGCGAUGGGACUGAGACACGGCCCAUACUCCUACGGGAGGCAGCAGUAGGGAAUCUUCCGCAAUGGACGAAAGUCUGACGGAGCGACACCGCGUGAAGGAUGAAGGCCUUGGUUGUAAACUUCUUUCUCAGGGAAGAAAAUACUGACGGUACCUGAGGAAUAAGCCCCGGCUAAUUACGUG